CCGCAGGCGGCCGCUCGCUGGCGCCGUUCGGCUCGAGUCUCGACGAUCGCCGGCUGACGGGGAAGGAGCGGCCGCUCCUUUCGGACGUGUGCAAAGGUCAUCGCAACCACCCGGGAGAGGCCCGGCGCCGCCGCGACCCGACUGGCCAACCCGCCUUUUGAAAAGGGGAUCCGGGAAGUCGGCGCGGCCGGAAGGCUCGGAGGCUCGACCCGCUUCGCCGUUUCCACUCGCGGUCGAGAAAAAGGGCAAAAUCUCCUUCCCGGGUCCUGGCGCAAUUGACUUUUUAUUUUCUUUUUGGCCACGCGACAGGAUGACGUCACCGAACAAAGAUGGCCGCCAACGAGAGCAAAGUAAGAGCGGCCGGCCGGAGAAAGUCGCGCUCCCUUCCCGGACGCGGCAUCCCGGCGAGCGUCACGCCACCUCGUCCCGCUCGCCGUGGCUCCCCUCACGCUUCCUGCCGCUCGGCGCCGGUCGCCGCGGCCUUUCUGAUGGAGGUGAGCCGGAUGUGGGACGUGCUGUUCAGGUAGCUGGCCCGACGGUCGGGACGUCCGCCUUCGCCGCCGCAUCGCAGCUGACUGACACACGGAAGGCACAAACGGGCGGAGCUUUCGCAUCGGCGUCAGGGCAUCGUGUCAAAUUCUGGGUGUCAUCGCACGUGACCCGCCGGCGUCCGAACCUUUGGAAGUGUCGUCGGAAGCUGUCGCUGAGCAGGUAGAGUGCCAACGGGUUGACGCAGGACGACGAGAAGCUGAGGAUGCGCGCCAGCAGCGUGAGCAGGAGCAAUGGGCAGGAACGAGCGACGGCACCUCUCCUCCUUGCAGCGCGGGUGCAUCGGUCUUUGGCUGAAGGAGCUGCCGGUGCUGUCGGGGUGGCCUGGAGAGGGUGGAGCUGUUUGCUUCGCAAGCAUCCUCCCGUUGCCCACCUCCUCCGGCGUCCGGGGAGCAGCCCGGGAUAGAGCCUGCCCCGGUGACCGGUCGGUCCGGUCUCUCUCUGUCCCGGCCUGAAGAUGCUGCCUGUGUUUUGUGGUUAUUUGGAAGAACUAAAUCCAUGCAAGACAUUCAUCAACCGAAAUAUACGUUUUGAAUCUUGUAAAUUGUCGUGCUUUCACAGUCUAUAGUCUAUAUAAGUAACUUCUGUUAGUUUAUGUGAUUUGAUAGUUUGACAUGUUUAAUAAAAGUUAUACCGUUUAGCCGUCGAGAUAACGGCUAACGUGGAGGGGUGAGCACAUGGUGGACUGUGCCGAAUGGUUUACUGGCUUGUCAUCUAAUCGCGGCACGUUCUCCGCGGUUUUCGGGGGACGUCGAACGAAAGCAUAGCUCGUCUACUUUUUAAAUUUACUUUUUACAUGCGUUUAUGCUGCUUCAGUCUGAUUUCUGUGCAAUGCGGGCUCCGUUCCGGGCUGUGAUGUGGUGUACCAAUCAAACGUAAGGCCAGAGUGUAAUUUGUGUUCGCCCUGGUUGUUUAACAAUUGAGCUAACGGCUAGCUUUAAUGCAUGAGUACGUGGCGGGGCGCACGCAAUGGUGACGUGCUAAUGGGCAUGUCAACUGUUGUUGCUUUGAUGUGUU
This is a long non-coding RNA of Hippocampus zosterae (dwarf seahorse), 1566 nucleotides long. RefSeq lists it as uncharacterized. The record is from RefSeq and is a predicted model, not a curated record. The transcript is spliced from 5 exons. NCBI's taxonomy places the organism in Eukaryota, Metazoa, Chordata, Actinopteri, Syngnathiformes, Syngnathidae.